CCUACGGGCGGCUGCAGUAGGGAAUAUUGGACAAUGGGUGCGAGCCUGAUCCAGCCAUGCCGCGUGCAGGAAGAAGGCGUUAUGCGUUGUAAACUGCUUUUGCCAGGGGAUAAAAUAACUGUGCGCAGUUGAUUGAAGGUACCUGGUGAAUAAGCCACGGCUAACUACGUGCCAGCAGCCGCGGUAAUACGACGGUGGCAAGCGUUGUCCGGAUUUAUUGGGUUCGAAGGCGGCGCUGGCGGUCAUGUGUGAAAUAUCUCAGCUUAACUGAGAGGGGGCCAUUGAUACUGCGGGGCUUGAGUACAGAUGAGGUAGGCGGAAUUGACGGUGUAGCGGUGAAAUGCAUAGAUAUCGUCAAGAACACCGAUAGCGAAGGCAGCUUACCAAGCUGUAACUGACGCUGAGGCACGAAAGUGUGGGGAUCAAACAGGAUUAGAUACCCUGGUAGUC
Molecule: ribosomal RNA, 450 nt
Filed under: uncultured bacterium
Lineage: Bacteria
Description: partial 16S ribosomal RNA
Rfam family: Bacterial small subunit ribosomal RNA
Source: RNAcentral